CCUACGGGUGGCUGCAGUGGGGAAUAUUGGGCAAUGGAGGAAACUCUGACCCAGCAACGCCGCGUGAAGGAUGAAGGUUCUCGGAUUGUAAACUUCUUUUGCGAGGGAUGAAGAAUGACGGUAUCUCGAAAGAAAGCCCCGGCAAACUACGUGUCAGCAGCCGCGGUAAUACGUAGGGGGCGAGCGUUGUCCGGAAUGUCUGGGGGUAAAGGGAGUGUAGGCGGGAUAGUAAGUUAUGUGUGAAAGCCCGCGGCUCAACCGCGGAAUUGCGCAUAAAACUGGUAAGCUGGAGUGCAGGAGAGGUAGGUGGAAUUCCCGGUGUAGCGGUGGAAUGCGUAGAUAUCGGGAGGAACACCAGAGGCGAAGGCGACUUGCUGGACAGUAACUGACGCUGAGGCGCGAAAGCGUGGGGAGCAAACAGGAUUAGAUACCCGAGUAGUC
RNAcentral lists this ribosomal RNA (441 nucleotides) under uncultured bacterium. Its description in RNAcentral is "partial 16S ribosomal RNA". It matches the Rfam family "Bacterial small subunit ribosomal RNA", at positions 338 to 795 of the family's 1533-position model. The record is from RNAcentral.